Molecule: ribosomal RNA, 253 nt
Filed under: uncultured bacterium
Lineage: Bacteria
Description: partial 16S ribosomal RNA
Rfam family: Bacterial small subunit ribosomal RNA
Source: RNAcentral
UACGUAGGUGGCAAGCGUUGUCCGGAAUUACUGGGUGUAAAGCGCGUGUAGGCGGGAGGCCAAGUCUGCUGUGAAAUCGCCCGGCUCAACUGGGCGGGGUCGGUGGAAACUGGUCACCUGGAGGACGGUAGAGGCGAGUGGAAUUCCCGGUGUAGUGGUGAAAUGCGUAGAGAUCGGGAGGAACACCAGUGGCGAAGGCGGCUCGCUGGGCCGGACCUGACGCUGAGGCGCGACAGCGUGGGGAGCAAACAGG